RNAcentral lists this ribosomal RNA (2152 nucleotides) under human oral metagenome. Its description in RNAcentral is "bacterial LSU rRNA". It matches the Rfam family "Bacterial large subunit ribosomal RNA", at positions 1 to 1977 of the family's 2925-position model. The record is from RNAcentral.
AAAGGUACUCAAGGGCACUGUAGUGGAUGCCUAGACGUAUAUUACCGAUGAAGGACGUGGAAGACUGCGAUAAGCUUCGGGUAGCUGUCAACAAGCUUUGAUCCGGAGAUUUCCGAAUGGGAGAACCUAGCAUGAGUAAUGUCAUGUUGCCUCACGCUGAAUACAUAGGCGUGUAGAGCGGGAACCAACUGAACUGAAACAUCUUAGUAGGUUGAGGAAGAGAAAGUAAAUAACGAUUCUCGGAGUAGUGGCGAGCGAAACGGGAAGAGCCCAAACCUUAUAAGUUUUUGCCUGUUCGCAGGCAAAUAAGCUGAUAGGCGAAUGCCUAUAAGGGGUUGUGAUAUAACACACGACCAAGCCAGAGAACUUGAAUUUUUCGAGGUAUCUGGUUUGCGACUACUGGCUAUCAACGGUAGGUAAGGUAAGAAAACGGCGUGGUUAGCAGAAUAGUUUGAAUGGCUAGCCAAAGAACGUGAAAGCCGCGUAUGCAAAAACGACGCUGACCUUAUAUGUGUUUUAUCGAGUAGGACGGGGCACGAGAAACCCUGUUUGAAUCUGGCUGGACCACCAGCCAAGGCUAAAUAUAAUAUACGAUCGAUAGUGAACUAGUACAGCGAUGGAAAGGUGAAAAGAACCCCGGAAGGGGAGUGAAAUAGAUUCUGAAACUCAGUGCCUACAAGGAGUCGGAGCCCAGCUUACUGGGUGACGGCGUGCUUUUUGUAGAACGAUCCAGCGAGUUAAUUUUUAGUGCAAGGUUAAGUCAGUUGACGGAGCCACAGUGAAAGCGAGCCUGAAUAGGGCGACAAGUACUAAGGAUUAGACCCGAAACCGGGUGACCUAACCAUGAGCAGGUUGAAGCUACUGUAACAGGUAGUGGAGGACCGAACCAGGAUACGCAGCAAAGUGUUUGGAUGACUUGUGGUUAGCGGUGAAAUGCCAAUCGAACUCGGAGAUAGCUGGUUCUCCUCGAAACAGUUUUAGGACUGGCGUCAUGUGGUAGCAGUCGGGGGUAGAGCUCUGUAAAGGACUGGGGGGAGCAAUCCUACCCACCCUUAACAAACUACGAAUACCGGUUGUGGAAUCAUGGCAGUUAGAACGGCGGAGCUAAGUUCGUCGCUCAAAAGGGAAACAGCCCAGACCAUCAGCUAAGGUCCCUAAAUUUACGUUAAGUGGGAAACAAGGUGAGAUUUCUUAAACAGCUAGGAUGUUGGCUUAGAAGCAGCCAUUCAUUUAAAGAGUGCGUAACAGCUCACUAGUCAAGAGAUCUUGCGUGGAAAAUGUAACGGGGCUAAACGUAAUACCGAAGCUAUGGGUUCAUACAUUUGUAUGGGCGGUAGAGGAGCGUUCCUAUCGGCGGUGAAGCAGUACUGUAAAGUAUUGUGGAGCGUUAGGAAGUGAGAAUGCUGGAAUGAGUAACCAUAAGAUAGGUGAGAAUCCUGUCGGCCGUAAGAGCAAGGUUUCCUGAGCUAUGGUAAUCAUCUCAGGGUUAGUCGGGCCUAAGCCGAGGCGCAUAGCGUAGGCGAUGGACAUCAGGUUGAUAUUCCUGAACCGGCGUAGUUUGUACACUGUUCACGGAGAGAUAUUCGGAGCGGAUUCAUGGUAUGUAUUCGUCCAACCGAGCGGGAACGCAAGGGGAGUGAAAGUUACUCUACGGAGUGACGAUUCUGAAAAAGGCUCUGGCUAGAAAAGCAGGUGUACGCGUGACUAUGUCCGCCCGUACCGCAAACCAACACAGGUGCUCGAGUCGAGUAGACUCAGGCUUACGAGAGAACCUUCGCUAAGGAACUCGGCAAUACAGCGACCGUAACUUCGGGAUAAGGUCUGCCCCCACUUCGGUGGACGUGUUGUCAGUUUCAAAGCUUAAGGUAUGGUUAAAAGAGUAUCUUUAAUACCAUCAAUUCUUUUAGAGAUAGAACCAUGCUUUUGGAACUGAAGCUCAACGCAUCUAACGAUGUGGGGGUCGCAGCAAAAGAGCCCACGGAACUGUUUACCAAAAACACAGCUCUCUGCUAACACGAAAGUGGAUGUAUAGGGGGUGACUCCUGCCCGGUGCUGGAAGGUUAAGGGGAACGCUUUACGGUGUGAACUGAAGCCCCAGUGAACGGCGGCGGUAACUAUAACCGUCCUAAGGUAGCGAAAUUCCUUGUCAGGU